AAGACAUUCCUCAUAAUGACUGUGACAUGAAUGAUAGUACAGAUGCAGAAGAAAGUUCCCAAAAUUAUAUACGUAGAAGACAAAUUAGACUUGGUGGAGGUGAUAAGGGUCAGCAACAAAGAUCCUGAAAAAUGGAGAUGGGAAUUGGCGUUGGGAAGUGGCUGGUAAGUGUGCAAUGCAUCAAAAGUAAAAAAACAGUAAGUACUAUGUUAGGGUUAUUUUUUAAAAAGAAA
Cajanus cajan (pigeon pea) is the source of this 233-nucleotide non-coding RNA. The record is from RefSeq and is a predicted model, not a curated record. Lineage: Eukaryota; Viridiplantae; Streptophyta; Magnoliopsida; Fabales; Fabaceae.